Balaenoptera musculus (blue whale) is the source of this 420-nucleotide long non-coding RNA. RefSeq lists it as uncharacterized. The record is from RefSeq and is a predicted model, not a curated record. The transcript has 4 exons. Lineage: Eukaryota; Metazoa; Chordata; Mammalia; Artiodactyla; Balaenopteridae.
UUUGUACUCAGAAGGAAUCUGCAUCUUGAAGCUCUUUCAGCUGUAAUCCACUGUUGUUAUACUGGAGCCCUCUUUGAUGCUGGAAUCAUCUCACAUGGUUACAGAGGCUAACAAGUCCCAAGAUCUGCAGGGUGAGACAAACAGCUGGAGACCCAGGAAAACCAAUGCUGUAAUUCCAGUCCUAAGAAGAGAUGAAAUACUCUGUGACACUGGAGUAGAAAAAAAACCUGGAACUUUCUUUUUAGUUCAUUUAUUACAACUUGGAUUGACAUUGAAAAAAUAGUCAGAGUCUAGGCAUUUAACCUCAUGUCUUCAAAUCUCUAAGAUCUCCAAUGGAAACGGAUCAAAAAAGUUAUUGCUGCCACAAUGGAGAACAAUAUGGAGAUUCCUUUAAAAACUAAAAAUAGAGCUACCAUAUCA